UGACGUUCGUCGGCGAGACGAUACCCGACAACGAGAGGAAACCAGACCCCAUGAAUAAGAAUGGCAUACCUCCAUCAUUUUGGAUAAUAAAGUUAUCUGAAAAUAGUAUCGGCCUACUUAUCUAAAGACCUCCAGUAGCCAUUACAGAAUCUCGAAGAAGCUCUGCGUACCAACGGCAAGUCUGAAAACAAAUAAUGGUGAUAACGUGUUGUGUCAGCGGUUGUUACAGCCGGCAAUGUAAUGAUUUAAGCCUUUCCUUCCAUCGUCUACCGAAAUAUCCGGAAUAGCCUAUUGCUACGGCCUUUCAGACAAAAUUUACCGAUCCUGGCCUUCUCAUUGGCUGAAAUUUCGAAAAGAUAUGUAAGAAAAAUGACUUGCCAUUUUGUCCAGACUAUGUAACAAGUCUACAUCUUGGGGUUAAAGACAGUAUGCUAAUCCCAUGGUUAGAACUGAACACUCCAGAGGGAAGGAAAUCUCCUUGAUAAAGAAAACCGAAUACAUGUGGCUGAAGCCCUUCUGGACCUCUCAGACAUACAUAACAUCGCAGAAACAGAAUCUACAGCAACAGAGUCUGUAUGGACACCACCAAUAGAUAUCCAUGAUACAUGUUUGAAAAAAAGUUGGAAAAUAAGCAACUUGGACAAGAACUGAUUAGGUUGCAGACAUAAAGAGAUGAUCUUGAAACUAAGCUCCAGCAAGUCACAUUUGGAGUGAAGACUAUUGAAAACAAUGACAGCCGUGCAUCUUUCUUCACCGGAUUACCAUCCUUUGCUGCCUUUUCAUGUUUACUUGGAUUCCGUAGAUGUGUGGCUAAAAUUGGAAGUCCUUUAUUCAGCAUAUCUGACAGAUGUCCUUCUGACACACUGUGACUUGGGAAGUACAGAUACAUGGUUCAUGUGAACUUUCCAAGACAAAAUUCAAGGACUUUUCAAGGCCCUAUUCACCUUUUUAAAGAAAUUUUUCAGAAAUAUUAAGUACAUUUUACAAUGAUAAAUGCAGAAAACAUAACAAUAUGUAUACCAAUUUCAGAUAUUUUAAUAAAGGUCAGAGGUU
Ylistrum balloti is the source of this 1053-nucleotide long non-coding RNA. RefSeq lists it as uncharacterized. The transcript has 4 exons. Lineage: Eukaryota; Metazoa; Mollusca; Bivalvia; Pectinida; Pectinidae. The record is from RefSeq and is a predicted model, not a curated record.